RNAcentral lists this ribosomal RNA (433 nucleotides) under uncultured bacterium. Its description in RNAcentral is "partial 16S ribosomal RNA". It matches the Rfam family "Bacterial small subunit ribosomal RNA", at positions 29 to 507 of the family's 1533-position model. The record is from RNAcentral.
AACGAACGCUGGCGGCAUGCCUAACACAUGCAAGUCGAACGAGACCUUCGGGUCUAUUGGCGCACGGGUGCGUAACGCGUGGGAACCUUCCCUUAGGUUCGGAAUAACUCCCCGAAAGGGGUGCUAAUACCGGAUAAUGUCUUCGGACCAAAGAUUUAUCGCCUUUGGAUGGGCCCGCGUUGGAUUAGCUAGUUGGUAGGGUAAAAGCCUACUAAGGCGACGAUCCAUAGCUGGUCUGAGAGGAUGAUUAGCCACACUGGGACUGAGACACGGCCCAGACUCCUACGGGAGGCAGCAGUGGGGAAUAUUGGACAAUGGGCGAAAGCCUGAUCCAGCAAUGACGCGUGAGUGAUGAAGGCCUUAGGGUUGUAAAGCUCUUUUACCCGGGAUGAUAAUGACAGUACCGGGAGAAUAAGCUCCGGCUAACUCCGUG